Molecule: small nucleolar RNA, 79 nt
Filed under: Papilio xuthus (Asian swallowtail)
Lineage: Eukaryota; Metazoa; Arthropoda; Insecta; Lepidoptera; Papilionidae
Source: RNAcentral
UUCAAAUGAUGAACAUCAAAUGCAACUAUGAAUCACUAUGAUUAUCAAAAACAAUACGAGCUUUUUAACUCUGAUGUAA